UACGUAGGCGGAAAAUUAAGUCAGUAGUGAAAUCCUGCAGCUUAACUGUAGAACUGUUAUUGAUACUGGUUUUCUUGAAUAUAGUUGAGGUAGGCGGAACGUGUAAUGUAGCGGUGAAAUGCUUAGAUAUUACACAGAACACCGAUUGCGAAGGCAGCUUACUAAGCUAUGAUUGACGCUGAGGUACGAAAGCGUGGGGAGCGAACAGGAUUAGAUACCCUGGUAGUC
RNAcentral lists this ribosomal RNA (228 nucleotides) under uncultured bacterium. RNAcentral describes it as "partial 16S ribosomal RNA". It matches the Rfam family "Bacterial small subunit ribosomal RNA", at positions 568 to 795 of the family's 1533-position model. The record is from RNAcentral.